GGGUUGUUAGCUCAGCUGGUAGAGCUGCGGACUCUUAAUCCGUCGGUCGUAGGUUCAAAUCCUACACAACCCACCA
Molecule: transfer RNA, 76 nt
Filed under: Betaproteobacteria bacterium
Lineage: Bacteria; Pseudomonadati; Pseudomonadota; Betaproteobacteria
Description: tRNA-Lys
Rfam family: tRNA
About the family: Transfer RNA (tRNA) molecules are approximately 80 nucleotides in length.
Source: RNAcentral